AAAUUGAAGAGUUUGAUCAUGGCUCAGAUUGAACGCUGGCGGCAGGCCUAACACAUGCAAGUCGAACGGUAACAGGAAACAGCUUGCUGUUUCGCUGACGAGUGGCGGACGGGUGAGUAAUGUCUGGGAAACUGCCUGAUGGAGGGGGAUAACUACUGGAAACGGUAGCUAAUACCGCAUAAUGUCGCAAGACCAAAGAGGGGGACCUUAGGGCCUCUUGCCAUCGGAUGUGCCCAGAUGGGAUUAGCUAGUAGGUGGGGUAACGGCUCACCUAGGCGACGAUCCCUAGCUGGUCUGAGAGGAUGACCAGCCACACUGGAACUGAGACACGGUCCAGACUCCUACGGGAGGCAGCAGUGGGGAAUAUUGCACAAUGGGCGCAAGCCUGAUGCAGCCAUGCCGCGUGUAUGAAGAAGGCCUUCGGGUUGUAAAGUACUUUCAGCGGGGAGGAAGGGAGUAAAGUUAAUACCUUUGCUCAUUGACGUUA
Molecule: ribosomal RNA, 487 nt
Filed under: Escherichia coli
Lineage: Bacteria; Pseudomonadati; Pseudomonadota; Gammaproteobacteria; Enterobacterales; Enterobacteriaceae
Also listed under: 1 other name
Description: bacterial SSU rRNA
Rfam family: Bacterial small subunit ribosomal RNA
Source: RNAcentral